AGCUUUGCACAGUGGCAGUAUCGUAGCCAAUGAGGUUUAUCCGAGGCGCGAUUAUUGCUAAUUGAAAGAAGCAGGGUAGGAUUAGGAUGCUUCCACGGUGGCCUCAGUUAUAACUGUAACGCUGUGAUGUGU
RNAcentral lists this small nuclear RNA (132 nucleotides) under Rhinolophus ferrumequinum (greater horseshoe bat). RNAcentral's name for it is "U4 spliceosomal RNA (ENSRFEG00010017754.1)". The stretch from base 1 to 69 matches the Rfam family "U4 spliceosomal RNA". From Rfam's summary of the family: U4 small nuclear RNA (U4 snRNA) is a component of the major U2-dependent spliceosome. The structure of U4 snRNA from yeast and human has been reported. Lineage: Eukaryota; Metazoa; Chordata; Mammalia; Chiroptera; Rhinolophidae. The record is from RNAcentral.